This 1033-nucleotide long non-coding RNA is filed under the name Ananas comosus (pineapple). RNAcentral describes it as "long non-coding RNA (ACOM_LNC032760)". Lineage: Eukaryota; Viridiplantae; Streptophyta; Magnoliopsida; Poales; Bromeliaceae. The record is from RNAcentral.
AAGGAUUUGGAGGAGAUUUCUUGGGUUUUGGAGGCUUGGGGACUCUCCAACAAGAUGGACCUUGGAGAGCUUAGGGCAAAGAUAAGGUUUUCUUGUAAGAUCUAGGUUAGGGCUUUGAUUUUAUGCCCUAAACUUUUGGAUUGGAACUUCUUACAAGAGUAGAAACUCUCUAGAGGCAUGAAACACAUGAAAAUCCAUGGUUGCUUCAUGUGCAAUCAUGGUGAACUUCUAGGGUUCAUGUGGUAUGCCCUAGAAAUGGUUGAAAAGGCUUCGGAAAGGUUCUAAAUGAGUUCCUAGAGAUUCGACAAGCUUUCUUUUACUUGUACUAGAGAUCAAAUCCAAAGCUUAGCAAAUGGCAUUCUGUCACGCCCCGGGACCCAGCGGAAGCCCGCCCGGCAUGUGCCCAGACCCGCCAUACGUCUAAAACAUAUAAGGCGUCUAAAAACAACGAUAAUAAAAGCAAUAAUAAAAGACAUCUAGGAGUAUCAGAGCAUAAUAAAUAUCUAAAUGCUACAACAAGGGAUAAGGAUAAAACUGUAAAUCCACUAAAUAAGACAUAAAGUGAUACAAGAAAAACCCAGAUACGAGUGCUAUAGGUAGAUACAUAGGUGGUCUCUAUACAUGGAUACAAAAACCUCUCACUCUCUCAACUACAAAAAGAAAGAGUAAACCACCUAGGCAAAGUACCACUCCUCGCUAGCUAGCUAAGCGAUCCCCUUGCCGCGAUCCCGUGCCUCCGCCGGUGCCGAAGGCUCUGAAAAGUAAACCAUAAAACAGGGGGCGUGAGAACUAUUAAAAAAUAGUUCCCAGUGGGCAAUCACUGACUUCAGUGAAUGCACCACAAGGCCCAAAGCUACAAAAGAUGUCAGUGCACGAGUACAAUAAAAGCAGAGAAAGUAACUAAUAAUUAAACAUGUAGGCUUAUUACCAUAGGCUACAUCUACUUAGCACGAAAGGCAUAAGAAUGAGAGCAACUGUGUAUGUAGUAAAAGUCUCCAACUAUCAUGAUGUCCAUAAUGCAAAAUAGUAAGCU